Salmo salar (Atlantic salmon) is the source of this 2454-nucleotide non-coding RNA. The record is from RefSeq and is a predicted model, not a curated record. NCBI's taxonomy places the organism in Eukaryota, Metazoa, Chordata, Actinopteri, Salmoniformes, Salmonidae.
UUUCUAUAAUCCCCUAUGGGAAAAAAUGAAUGGUGGAAAAACAAUUGGAACUAUUUCUCUGUUUGACUUCUAGGUUUUAUAGGAGUUAUGACUUAUACUGUGGUACUUUAUAAUUAAGCAAUAAGGCACGAGGGGACGUGGUAUAUGGCCAAUAUACCACGGCUAAGGGCUGUACUUAUGCACGACGCAUUGCGGAGGCAUAGACACAGCCCUUUAGCCGUGGUAUAUUUUCCAUAUACCACAAACCCCGAGCUGCCUUAUUGCUAUUAUAAACUGGCUACCAACGUAAUUAGAGCAGUAAAAAUAAAUGUUUUGUCAUACCUGUGGUAUAUGGUCUGAUAUACCACGGCUGUCAGCCAAUCAGCAUUCAGGGCUUGAACCACCCAGCUUAUAACAGGUAAUAAAGGACCAGUGAUAGUAUUACAGGUAAUAGAGGACCAGUUAUAUCGUAUUACAGGUAAUAGAGGAGUAGUGAUACAGUUGUACAGGUAAUAGAGGAGCAGUGAUAGCGUAUUACAGGUAAUAGAGGAGCAGUGAUAGCGUAUUACAGGUAAUAGAGGAGCAGUGAUAGCGUAUUACAGGUAAUAGAGGAGCAGUGAUAGCAUAUUACAGGUAAUAGAGGAGCAGUGAUAGCGUAUUACAGGUAAUAGAGGAGCAGUGAUAGCGUAUUACAGGUAAUAGAGGAGCAGUGAUAGCGUAUUACAGGUAAUAGAGGAGCAGUGAUAGCGUAUUACAGGUAAUAGAGGAGCAGUGAUAGUAUUACAGGUAAUAGAGGAGCAGUGAUAGCGUAUUACAGGUAAUAGAGGAGCAGUGAUAGCGUAUUACAGGUAAUAGAGGAGCAGUGAUAGCAUAUUACAGGUAAUAGAGGAGCAGUGAUAGCGUAUUACAGGUAAUAGAGGAGCAGUGAUAGCGUAUUACAGGUAAUAGAGGAGCAGUGAUAGCGUAUUACAGGUAAUAGAGGAGCAGUGAUAGCGUAUUACAGGUAAUAGAGGAGCAGUGAUAGUAUUACAGGUAAUAGAGGAGCAGUGAUAGUAUUACAGGUAAUAGAGGAGCAGUGAUAGUAUUACAGGUGAUAGAGGAGCAGUGAUAGCGUAUUACAGGUAAUAGAGGAGCAGUAAUAGCGUAUUACAGGUAAUAGAAGAGCAGUGAUAGUAUUACAGGUAAUAGAGGAGCAGUUCUGUAUGGUAUGUAUUGCAGCUAACAGAGGAGCAGUGAUAGCGUAUUAUAGGUAAUAGAGGAGCAGUGAUAGCGUAUUACAGGUAAUAGAGGAGCAGUGAUAGUAUUACAGGUAAUAGAGGAGCAGUGAUAGUAUUACAGGUAAUAGAGGAGCAGUGAUAGUAUUACAGGUAAUAGAGGAGCAGUGAUAGUAUUACAGGUAAUAGAGGAGCAGUGAUAGCGUAUUACAGGUAAUAGAAGAGCAGUGAUAGUAUUACAGGUAGUAGAGGUCAGUGAUACCAUAUUACAGGUAAUAGAAGAGCAGUGAUAGCGUAUUACAGGUAAUAGAAGAGCAGUGAUAGUAUUACAGGUAGUAGAGGUCAGUGAUACCAUAUUACAGGUAAUAGAAGAGCAGUGAUACAGUAUUACAGCUAACAGAGGAGCAGUGAUACUGUAUUACAGAUAAUAGAGGAGCAGUGAUAGCAUAUUACAGCUAACAGAGGAGUAGUGAUACCAUAUUACAGGUAAUAGAGGAGCAGUGAUAGUAUUACAGAUAAUAGAAGAGCAGUGAUAGUAUUACAGAUAAUAGAGGAGCAGUGAUAGUAUUACAGAUAAUAGAGGAGCAGUGAUAGUAUUACAGAUAAUAGAGGAGCAGUGAUAAUGUGUUACAGGUAAUAGAAGAGCAGUGAUACAGUAUUACAGGUAAUAGAGGAGCAGUGGUGUACGGCAUGUAUUACAGAUAAUAGAGGAGCAUUGAUGCCGUAUUACAGUUAAUAGAAGAGCAGUGAUAGUAUUACAGGUAAUAGAAGAGCUGUGAUAGUAUUACAGGUAAUAGAAGAGCAGUGAUAGUGUUAGAGAUAGUGAAGGAGCAGUGCUGUACUUAUGUAUUACAGCUAACAGAGGAGCAGUGCUACCAUAUUACAGGUAAUAGAGGAACAAUAUUACCAUAUUACAGGUAAUAGAGGAGCUGCUGCAGAGCUAAUAAUUAUGAUUAUGGAGUCAAAAAUAUUCUAAAUACUUUACAGACUUUAGAAAUACAGCAACAACAGGAACAUCUGCACUCAGAAAUCAGACUAAUGAAUAAAAUGAAAUGUUUUUGAAUCCUAAAUCGACCCUUAGCCCCUGUUUCAUAGGCCUAUGCACUCCAGUAUUCCAGUGCAGUACUGUAUAUCACCCUAUUCUUUACAUAGUGCACUACUUUUGGCCUGAACUCUGGAUUAGGGACUUCUACAGGGAUCUGUCUUGUGUUCUGUUGAUGUUUCUGUUGGCUAGAAGAAUAAAGACACACAUGUUUCUGGG